AGUUCAGUUGGUUAGAACGCUAGCCUGUCACGCUAGAGGUCGUGGGUUCGAGCCCCAUC
This 59-nucleotide transfer RNA is filed under the name Ligaoa zhengdingensis. Its description in RNAcentral is "Clostridiaceae bacterium NSJ-31 tRNA-Asp". It matches the Rfam family "tRNA", at positions 9 to 63 of the family's 71-position model. Rfam says of the family: Transfer RNA (tRNA) molecules are approximately 80 nucleotides in length. Their secondary structure includes four short double-helical elements and three loops (D, anti-codon, and T loops). Further hydrogen bonds mediate the characteristic L-shaped molecular structure. tRNAs have two regions of fundamental functional importance: the anti-codon, which is responsible for specific mRNA codon recognition, and the 3' end, to which the tRNAs corresponding amino acid is attached (by aminoacyl-tRNA synthetases). tRNAs cope with the degeneracy of the genetic code in two manners: having more than one tRNA (with a specific anti-codon) for a particular amino acid; and 'wobble' base-pairing, i.e. permitting non-standard base-pairing at the 3rd anti-codon position. The record is from RNAcentral. Lineage: Bacteria; Bacillati; Bacillota; Clostridia; Eubacteriales; Oscillospiraceae.